This 233-nucleotide ribosomal RNA is filed under the name uncultured bacterium. RNAcentral's name for it is "partial 16S ribosomal RNA". It matches the Rfam family "Bacterial small subunit ribosomal RNA", at positions 100 to 334 of the family's 1533-position model. The record is from RNAcentral.
CGGGACGGGUGAGUAAUGUCUGGGAAACUGCCUGAUGGAGGGGGAUAACUGCUGGAAACGGUAGCUAAUACCGCAUAACGUCGCAAGACCAAAGAGGGGGACCUUCGGGCCUCUUGCCAUCGGACGUGCCCAGAUGGGAUUAGCUAGUAGGUGGGGUAACGGCUCACCUAGGCGACGAUCCCUAGCUGGUCUGAGAGGAUGACCAGCCACACUGGAACUGAGACACGGUCCAG